RNAcentral lists this ribosomal RNA (762 nucleotides) under Triticum aestivum (bread wheat). Its description in RNAcentral is "partial small subunit ribosomal RNA". Lineage: Eukaryota; Viridiplantae; Streptophyta; Magnoliopsida; Poales; Poaceae. The record is from RNAcentral.
AUGGGAGGGCUAGGAUUCCGAGAUUUUGAAUUGUUUAACCUUGCCCUUCUUGCACGACAGUCAUGGAGGUUACUACAACAGCCGAGCUCUUUGUGUGCGCGUAUGCUGAAGGCGAUAUACUACCCGAGCGGAACGAUACUUCCAGCUGAGCUAGGCAACCGACCCUCGCAGGGAUUGAUAAGGAGAAUAGGUGAUGGAACAACAACAAAAAUCUGGGUUGAUAACUAGUUACCAUGGAAUGCAACAAUGAGACCUAUUGCUUGUUUGUCUGGUAACCCACCCACGAUGGUAAGUGAACUAAUAGAUAAUAGAAGUGCUACUUGGAGGAGGGAGGUCAUUGACCAAACCUUUCUGGCGGCGGACAAGAGUACGAUCCUGGGUAUCCCUAUUUGCACUCGGCGGAUGGACGAUUUCUGGGCGUGGAAUUUUGAGAAGAAUGGUAUAUUCACAGUGAGAUCAGCUUAUCGCAUGUUAGUAGACACAAAGAGAAGGAGAGAAGAUUGGCUAGAAGGUAAUGCGAGAAGUUCGGAUUAUGAAGCACAAGCGAAUAGUUGGACCUCUUUAUGGUCGGUUAAGGUACCGGGGAAGAUCCAUAAUUUUCUUUGGAGGCUUGCCAAACAUUCAAUCCCUACAGAGGAUGUUAGACACAGUAGGAACAUGGCCGAGGAGGAUAAGUGUCAGUUAUGUGGGAUGCCAGACUCUUGGUGUCAUUCAUUAUUGGAUUGCUCAACAUCACGGUGCGUGUGGGCACUAGUAGAUGAG